GUUUUCUGCUUUUUCUUGUGUCUUGUAAUUUUAAUUGUACAUUGGACGUAGUACACGAAUGCACAGUAACACCUGCCAUAAAUUAUAUUUUCCCCAGGAAAAUUCUCAGCUCUUCUGUCAGAAUGCUAAGGAUUUCUAGCCCUAAGGAUUUCUAGAAGCACCAAAGACAAGCAACUUCUCUAAACUUCCUCUUAUCAAGCACAUGGCCAACAACCUCUCUUCUCUUCAACCCAAAAUAAGUGACAAAAUAUGAAGAUGCUGGUUCCCUGAGGCUUGUAGCCUGGUUUCUUUUAUACAGGAAAAAGCAGAAUGAGCUGAAGAUGUUGAAAGCAAUAAAGCAAGUGUAGACAUGUACAUUAUCACUCUGUGCUCCCCUCCCCUCUGUUCCUUACUUAGUAUAAAAGACUCUUGCCCACCUGUACGUGGUUAGAUGGUGACUUGAGAAAAGUGGGCUCUCCAUCUCACUGGAGAUAGGUUUAAAUAAAUCUCUUCCUUCUUACCAAAA
This is a long non-coding RNA of Chinchilla lanigera (long-tailed chinchilla), 505 nucleotides long. RefSeq lists it as uncharacterized. NCBI's taxonomy places the organism in Eukaryota, Metazoa, Chordata, Mammalia, Rodentia, Chinchillidae. The transcript is spliced from 2 exons. The record is from RefSeq and is a predicted model, not a curated record.